GCCAGCGUGGUCUUGUGGUUUGAGUGCUGGUCUACGAUUCUGGCGUCCAGGGUUCGAGUCCCAGCUCGGCCA
This is a non-coding RNA of Phrynosoma platyrhinos (Desert horned lizard), 72 nucleotides long. Lineage: Eukaryota; Metazoa; Chordata; Lepidosauria; Squamata; Phrynosomatidae. The record is from the annotation of a GenBank genome assembly.